AUAAAAUACCUCAGGUGCCCUGUGGAGGCCUCAGACAGCCCUUUGAUGAACUCCAGACAUGCUCCUCAUUGGCUCAUUAUCUAGCUGUUUACCAGCCUU
RNAcentral lists this long non-coding RNA (99 nucleotides) under Zonotrichia albicollis (white-throated sparrow). Its description in RNAcentral is "lncRNA (ENSZALG00000013146.1)". The record is from RNAcentral. Lineage: Eukaryota; Metazoa; Chordata; Aves; Passeriformes; Passerellidae.